UGGGCGUAAAGCGGGCGCAGACGGUUACUUAAGCAGGAUGUGAAAUCCCCGGGCUCAACCUGGGAACUGCGUUCUGAACUGGGUGACUAGAGUGUGUCAGAGGGAGGUAGAAUUCCACGUGUAGCAGUGAAAUGCGUAGAGAUGUGGAGGAAUACCGAUGGCGAAGGCAGCCUCCUGGGAUAACACUGACGUUCAUGCCCGAAAGCGUGGGUAGCAAACAGGAUUAGAUACCCUGGUAGUCCACGCCCUAAACGAUGUCGAUUAGCUGUUGGGCAGCUUGACUGCUUAGUAGCGAAGCUAACGCGUGAAAUCGACCGCCUGGGGAGUACGGUCGCAAGAUUAAAACUCAAAGGAAUUGACGGGGACCCGCACAAGCGGUGGAUGAUGUGGAUUAAUUCGAUGCAACGCGAAGAACCUUACCUGGUCUUGACAUGUACGGAACCCUCCAGAGACGGAGGGGUGCCUUCGGGAGCCGUAACACAGGUGCUGCAUGGCUGUCGUCAGCUCGUGUCGUGAG
RNAcentral lists this ribosomal RNA (517 nucleotides) under uncultured bacterium. RNAcentral describes it as "bacterial SSU rRNA". It matches the Rfam family "Bacterial small subunit ribosomal RNA", at positions 555 to 1071 of the family's 1533-position model. The record is from RNAcentral.